UACAGAGGUGGCAAGCGUUGUUCGGAAUUACUGGGCGUAAAGGGCGCGUAGGCGGCCUUGUAAGUCCUGUGUGAAAUCCCCCGGCUCAACUGGGGAACUGCACAGGAGACUGCUUGGCUUGAGUUCGGGAGAGGGAAGCGGAAUUCCGGGUGUAGCGGUGAAAUGCGUAGAUAUCCGGAGGAACACCGGUGGCGAAGGCGGCUUCCUGGACCGACACUGACGUUGAGGCGCGAAAGCCAGGGGAGCAAACGGG
This 253-nucleotide ribosomal RNA is filed under the name uncultured bacterium. Its description in RNAcentral is "partial 16S ribosomal RNA". It matches the Rfam family "Bacterial small subunit ribosomal RNA", at positions 524 to 776 of the family's 1533-position model. The record is from RNAcentral.